Molecule: non-coding RNA, 30 nt
Filed under: Mus musculus (house mouse)
Lineage: Eukaryota; Metazoa; Chordata; Mammalia; Rodentia; Muridae
Source: RNAcentral
UGGUGAAACUUCUUACUGGUUACUUACCUG